UUCUCCCCACCGGCCGUCCCUCUCUCUCUCCCGUGUUUUUGAAUUCCGGCCACCUACACAGUACACGCGCCGGCCAGUGACGUGCGGAAGGAGGAGGCGAGCUCGGCCGCCAAGUUUCACGGCCAGCCGCCGCCGGACGCGCGCCGAUCGAGCCGGAGAAGCCGCCGGCCGUCGGAUUUUCUCUCUCCUCUUUUCUUGUGUUUUCCGGCCAGCCCACUCCCAAUUGAGCCUCCUAUCCCCCUAUUUUGGGUCCCCUGAAUCCAAAAAUGGCCUCCAAUCUCGAAAAUUCGAAGCGGUUUGCGAGUUAUGGAGAAGUGAACACCGGCCGAAACUUCCCGACCAAAUUCCGGCCACCUCCGGUGGAAUUGGGGUCGAUGGAGACCGGAUUGGUGAUCCUCGUUCCACGAGCUUCGAUUCGGAGCACCGGUGAGUCGUAGAAUUGAUCCCGUGGUGGAUCAUGGGUUAAUUGCGUGCUCCAGGUGAGUGACCCACCUUUAAAAAUAUUUUCGGGGUAAUUAAUUGUAUUUAUGUGGUAUUAAUUUGGUAUCUGUAAAAUUGUGUUCAUGUGGUGUAUUUUAAAUAUAAUCGGGAAAAAUAUUAUUUUAUAUAUAUAUUUACCAUUGGUAAUAAAUGGAAAUUUUGGGAUCAUUAAGAAAUUCCCGAUUAUUAUUUUAUGGUGAUUUAAUUAUGAAUUAUAUUGUUGUUUAAUUUAUUAUGCAUGAGCAAAGUGAAUUUUGGUGGUAUUUGUACGUGGUUUUAAAUUUGAUUUUCCGGGCAUAAUUGGGUUAAAUAUUUUACGAAAAUAUUUGGUUAUAUUUUAUAAAUUAUGCCCGCGGUAUUUUUAUGGUUGCAUUUCGUAUUUCGAGGAAAAUUGUGGUUUGUUGUUAUCGCUGUUUCGUACCGGGUGAUUGGAUAAAAUAUGUGGGAUGGUGUGUUGUGAAAUUUUGGUAUACUUCCCACGGUGGUUUUUGGAAAA
Molecule: long non-coding RNA, 976 nt
Organism: Ziziphus jujuba (common jujube)
Lineage: Eukaryota; Viridiplantae; Streptophyta; Magnoliopsida; Rosales; Rhamnaceae
Exons: 2
Source: RefSeq, a predicted model, not a curated record